Molecule: ribosomal RNA, 500 nt
Filed under: Serratia marcescens
Lineage: Bacteria; Pseudomonadati; Pseudomonadota; Gammaproteobacteria; Enterobacterales; Yersiniaceae
Description: bacterial SSU rRNA
Rfam family: Bacterial small subunit ribosomal RNA
Source: RNAcentral
AAACUUAAAUGAAUUGACGGGGGCCCGCACAAGCGGUGGAGCAUGUGGUUUAAUUCGAUGCAACGCGAAGAACCUUACCUACUCUUGACAUCCAGAGAACUUUCCAGAGAUGGAUUGGUGCCUUCGGGAACUCUGAGACAGGUGCUGCAUGGCUGUCGUCAGCUCGUGUUGUGAAAUGUUGGGUUAAGUCCCGCAACGAGCGCAACCCUUAUCCUUUGUUGCCAGCGGUUCGGCCGGGAACUCAAAGGAGACUGCCAGUGAUAAACUGGAGGAAGGUGGGGAUGACGUCAAGUCAUCAUGGCCCUUACGAGUAGGGCUACACACGUGCUACAAUGGCGUAUACAAAGAGAAGCGACCUCGCGAGAGCAAGCGGACCUCAUAAAGUACGUCGUAGUCCGGAUUGGAGUCUGCAACUCGACUCCAUGAAGUCGGAAUCGCUAGUAAUCGUAGAUCAGAAUGCUACGGUGAAUACGUUCCCGGGCCUUGUACACACCGCCCGU